This 262-nucleotide ribosomal RNA is filed under the name uncultured Eubacteriales bacterium. Its description in RNAcentral is "uncultured Clostridiales bacterium partial 16S ribosomal RNA". It matches the Rfam family "Bacterial small subunit ribosomal RNA", at positions 81 to 339 of the family's 1533-position model. Lineage: Bacteria; Bacillati; Bacillota; Clostridia; Eubacteriales. The record is from RNAcentral.
CACUUUGAAUCUUAGCGGCGGACGGGUGAGUAACGCGUGGGUAAUCUGCCUCAAACAGGGGGAUAACACAGGGAAACUUGUGCUAAUACCGCAUAAGACCCCAUCAUGGCAUCAUGGAGAGGUCAAAGGAAGAAAUUCCGGUUUGAGAUGAGCCCGCGUCUGAUUAGCUAGUUGGUGAGGUAACAGCUCACCAAGGCAACGAUCAGUAGCCGAACUGAGAGGUUGAUCGGCCACAUUGGGACUGAGACACGGCCCAGACUCC